This is a long non-coding RNA of Arabidopsis lyrata subsp. lyrata, 1343 nucleotides long. RefSeq lists it as uncharacterized. Lineage: Eukaryota; Viridiplantae; Streptophyta; Magnoliopsida; Brassicales; Brassicaceae. The record is from RefSeq and is a predicted model, not a curated record. The transcript is spliced from 2 exons.
UUAUAAAAAGAACAGAAAAUGAGAGGUGCAUUGUCAAAUCUAUCGCAUCAAACGAUACUUUUUCAUAUAGUUUUAGAUAAACAUCAGAGAACAGUCCUUGAGUAGGUUCAUAGACACCGUCCUACACUUGGAAACUUCAAUUAAUUCUUCUCUACCCCACUUUUAUUAUUAAUUUAUCAAUUUCUUCAUGCACUCAAAUGUAUUCUUUGUAAGUUGAAACUUUUCUCUCAUUAUUUGUACAAGAACCCAAUGGGCUUUAGUCUCUAAUAUUAUAGAUUCGACCCUCUCGUUCUACAAUUGUUAGAGAUGGUUACACUUACUUGGUUUACACAUAUAUAGUCGCUCAUAGUUUCCAUUGAUGCCUUGUUUUCUCUUGUAUACUUGUUAUUGAGAACCAAAGAAUAAAAAAUCAAUUGGUUGCUAACAAGUGUAACAUGUCAUUAGCAUGGAUGGUAAUUUAAUAAUGAUGUUAUAUAUAGAAUAUUUAAACUGAAUCAGUAUUAAUCUCGUCGAAGAAUUUUCCCGGUUUACGAAUAACCAAGAUAUCUAUAAAUAGUACAAUAAACUUUAUUCCCAUACAGUGUGGUCCCUUGUCUAUUACCAUGCAAAAUUUGAGUUUACGACAAAUAACACAAAGUUAAAAAAAAACCUCCAUGCGUGAACGACACACCACAGUCAUAUAAAGAAGCACUAAGUUACUACGUCAUAAUCUAAUUGGUUCAGUCUAGUGAAUAAAAACGACGGAACAGUAGUCACUCUCUUAGUUAAGUUUCCUGAGCAAACAAAUCAAAACCUCUUUCUCUCUUCUUCUUCUUCUUCUUCUUCUUCUUCUUCUUCUUCUUCUUCUUCUUCUUUAGUGGUUUCUUUGUUUCGUGAUUUUAAUAACAAUGGCCAAAUUUGACAUUAAAAGUGGUGGUAUCGAUCUCUAUCCGGAGAUGAAAGAGAGUUCAGAGCUUCGCUGGACUUUCAUCAGAAAAGUUUAUGUCAUCUUGAUGCUCCUUUCUGCCUUUUAUCUCGGAGUAACCGCCGUUGUUUCUUUCGUCGAUCUCAUCACCAAUCCCGACCACCCCCUCGACUUCUUUUUCGUCUUCGUCGUGCUUCAUAUCCUUCUGAAAGAACUAGCAGAAACUAGAAAGGCAUGGGGAAACUAAUUAAAGAGAAUGCACGAGAAGAUGAGACAGAGAUCCGACUAGUCCAAGCUAUAAGGACGUGUCUCAAAACCUAUCUAUGAUUUGUUCUUGAAUUUUCUAGCGUUUGAUUUGUAUGUAAUUGUUGAAGAAUCUAUGGUAUUAAUCGUUCUCUUUUAAGAAGAUUCUGAAUGAAGUCUCUGUAUUUUGUGGUUA